RNAcentral lists this ribosomal RNA (253 nucleotides) under uncultured bacterium. Its description in RNAcentral is "partial 16S ribosomal RNA". It matches the Rfam family "Bacterial small subunit ribosomal RNA", at positions 524 to 776 of the family's 1533-position model. The record is from RNAcentral.
UACGUAGGGGGCAAGCGUUGUCCGGAUUUAUUGGGCGUAAAGAGCGUGUAGGCGGCCAGGUAGGUCCGUUGUGAAAACUAGAGGCUCAACCUCUAGACGUCGAUGGAAACCAUCUGGCUAGAGUCCGGAAGAGGAGAGUGGAAUUCCUGGUGUAGCGGUGGAAUGCGCAGAUAUCAGGAGGAACACCAACGGCGAAGGCAGCUCGCUGGGACGGUACUGACGCUAAGGCGCGAAAGCGUGGGGAGCGAACAGG